UCACUUUCUAGAAUUAUAACAGUUUAUUAAGUCAGAAGAGAAAACGUUGCCAAGUCCAAACCUGGAAAAAUUCAUCAAUACUUUGCCAACAAACUUCCACAAAAUGCGUGAUCACAGAAUGGCAUUGCACUCAGUAAUAAUUCUCUUCACCUUGGCAUGCAUUGCAAACCUUUCUGAACAGAGCUGUGGCGAACAAAAAUCAUCCGAGAUGCAUUUCGUCCUGAUGGGGCAUGCAUAUAAUUCAAGCCAGGUCGCAGAUUACCCGUCAUGCCUGAAGAUUUGUAUGAGGGAAGCAAACUGUGUCAGUUUUAACUUCAACUUCUACACCCAAACAUGUGAAUUAAACAACAAGAUAAAAGCGACAGCGCCUGGCAGUUUUAAAGCCAUCGAUUACAGCGUGUACACAGAAAUGCUCAAAUAAGCAGUUGAUAUUAUAAAGUGACACUCGACUGUUGUAACAAGAUAAAUUUCUUAAGGACAUAAGCGAAGAAAUCGUAAUUAUUUUGUAGCGUAGAGCAAUUCUCGAUUUAAAGUCGAAAUUAGUAUGGGACGGCAGUAGUUUCCGUUCACUACUCUCUAUGAUUGGUCUACGAAACUUGUGAUAGUUUGUGAGUAGGUCCUCGUUAUUCAGAGCAGUGUUUCCUCGCCCGCAAGUAUGAUGUCAUGAAUUUUCGUGGAACCAAUGGCACUCAUUCGUGUUUUUGCUUUUCUUUCUUCAAUUGCGAUAAUGGGGCAGAAGUCAAAUUAAUUGUUUUCUCCAAAAAUGGUCAUUUUCAUGCUUGUGUGCGUCCUUGAUUUUCACACGAAGAAAGCAUCAAACUUGUCGAA
Stylophora pistillata is the source of this 828-nucleotide long non-coding RNA. RefSeq lists it as uncharacterized. Lineage: Eukaryota; Metazoa; Cnidaria; Anthozoa; Scleractinia; Pocilloporidae. The record is from RefSeq and is a predicted model, not a curated record.